AAGAUACCCCCGUUGUGGAAUCCUGUAUUCUUGUGGAGACCCUGAUGUUGGUUCUGGAAACGACACCAGUGAUGUUUCUGGAGAAUCUGAAGAAGGAGAGCGCAAGAGAAAGAAGGCCCUACGUACCAAGGAAGCCAAAAAGGCCAAGUUGGCUUUGGAGGCAAACUUGGAGGCAAACUCGGACGAGGACAGCGACCUGUCGAGCGCUUUUUCGGAUUGCAGCCUCGACGAGGAUGACGACGAGUAAAUGGCUAUGGGAAAGAGAAAAGGAGGAGAAAUUCUAGAAAAGAGAGUCGAAAAAUUCAGAUUACAGUGCCUAUAUAUGUGUGUGUUUGUGUAUGUGUUUAAAAAAUGUCUGUGUCUUUCUGUUACCUUCUCUCUUUUUCCAUGUAUCGUACCUUGUCAGCUUUCUUUACUUUCAAAUAAAUCACUUGAUCUCCACAUGCUUUAAUGGCAGCAUCAAGUUUAUCUACAUUUAA
Molecule: long non-coding RNA, 479 nt
Organism: Daphnia pulicaria
Lineage: Eukaryota; Metazoa; Arthropoda; Branchiopoda; Diplostraca; Daphniidae
Exons: 2
Source: RefSeq, a predicted model, not a curated record